UGAAACGCGACGAACGGGAACAGUAGCGGGAAGAACCUGUACAGAGAGCUGCGGGAAGGUGCAACGCAGUCAGGGACGCUGGCGAACCUCACCCGGGAGCGGCAGGGCCGAAGCGCCGGUGCAGUUUGCAUCCACGCCAGUAAGCUCUACGGGGGCCUCCGUGAUCAGGCUUCAAGCGGGCAGCUUGCUUCUCUUAUGAGGGGGCUGUCAACAAGAGUGGUACCGCGAUAGGUCAGCCUGUCGUCUCUUAU
This 251-nucleotide non-coding RNA is filed under the name Paenibacillus mucilaginosus. RNAcentral's name for it is "T-box sequence". It matches the Rfam family "T-box leader". Rfam says of the family: Uncharged tRNA acts as the effector for transcription antitermination of genes in the T-box leader family. T-boxes are found upstream of many aminoacyl-tRNA synthetase genes and some amino acid biosynthetic genes usually in Gram-positive bacteria. The record is from RNAcentral. Lineage: Bacteria; Bacillati; Bacillota; Bacilli; Caryophanales; Paenibacillaceae.